CAACAUCGAGGUCGCAAUCAAUUUUAUCAAUAAGAACUCUCCAAAAUUAUUACGCUGUUAUCCCUAAAGUAACUUAUUUUAUUAAUCAUUAAUAAUGGAUCAUUUUCAUAGAUUAAUGUUUAAAAAUUUUUAAAAGUUAUAUAAAUUUUAAUAUCACCCCAAUAAAAUAAAUAUUUUAUUAAUAAAAUUUAUAAAUCAAUAAAUUUAUAAUAAAAUUAUUAUAAAGAUUUAUAGGGUCUUCUCGUCUUUUAAAAACAUUUUAGCUUUUUGACUAAAAUAUAAAAUUCAAAUAUAAUAUUUAGAUGAAACAGUUAAUAUUUCGUCCAACCAUUCAUUCCAGCUUUCAAUUAAAAAACUAUUGAUUAUGCUACCUUUGCACAGUUAAUAUACUGCGGCCAUUUAAAUUUUCAGUGGGAACGUAAGAC
RNAcentral lists this ribosomal RNA (425 nucleotides) under Trichobius dugesii. Its description in RNAcentral is "partial 16S ribosomal RNA". The record is from RNAcentral. Lineage: Eukaryota; Metazoa; Arthropoda; Insecta; Diptera; Streblidae.